AAACUGCGAUAAGUAGCGUGAAUUGCAGACGCUUUGAACGUUAAACUUUCGAACGCACAUUGCGCCGUAGGAGUCCUACCCUACGGCACAUCUGGUUGAGGGUCGUGAUCGUAAACAGCCGCAAAGUAGCUGUAAUGAGACUAACUGGCGAAUCACGAGUUCGGCCCACCCGUACUCGGGCCGAGCGUGUUUUACCAUCAUGCUCUAGAGGAUAGCGACUUGCCACCGCUACCUACCACACGGACGGGCUAUCAGCUGAGGCGAUAGGUCCCCGGCCUUAGGGUAUCGUAACUACGUUGACUUAUGCGUAAAUACUCUUCGGCCAUGGGGAUACAGCUGCGUAGACUCCGUACGUGCCUGGUGAAGUAAACGAAAUCGUUUUCCCGACCUCAACUCAGGU
Molecule: unclassified non-coding RNA, 400 nt
Filed under: uncultured fungus
Lineage: Eukaryota; Fungi
Description: sequence contains ITS1
Rfam family: 5.8S ribosomal RNA (bases 1-105)
Source: RNAcentral